GAUGAACGCUGGCGGCGUGCCUAAUACAUGCCAGUCGAGCGAACAGACGAGGAGCUUGCUCCUCUGACGUUAGCGGCGGACGGGUGAGUAACACAUGGAUAACCUACCUAUAAGACUGGGAUAACUUCGGGAAACCGGAGCUAAUACCGGAUAAUAUAUUGAACCGCAUGGUUCAAUAGUGAAAGACGGUUUUGCUGUCACUUAUAGAUGGAUCCGCGCCGCAUUAGCUAGUUGGUAAGGUAACGGCUUACCAAGGCGACGAUGCGUAGCCGACCUGAGAGGGUGAUCGGCCACACUGGAACUGAGACACGGUCCAGACUCCUACGGGAGGCAGCAGUAGGGAAUCUUCCGCAAUGGGCGAAAGCCUGACGGAGCAACGCCGCGUGAGUGAUGAAGGUCUUCGGAUCGUAAAACUCUGUUAUUAGGGAAGAACAAAUGUGUAAGUAACUAUGCACGUCUUGACGGUACCUAAUCAGAAAGCCACGGCUAACUACGUG
Molecule: ribosomal RNA, 497 nt
Filed under: uncultured bacterium
Lineage: Bacteria
Description: partial 16S ribosomal RNA
Rfam family: Bacterial small subunit ribosomal RNA
Source: RNAcentral